RNAcentral lists this ribosomal RNA (200 nucleotides) under uncultured bacterium. Its description in RNAcentral is "partial 16S ribosomal RNA". It matches the Rfam family "Bacterial small subunit ribosomal RNA", at positions 1301 to 1500 of the family's 1533-position model. The record is from RNAcentral.
CAGUCUGCAACUCGAGUGCAUGAAGCUGGAAUCGCUAGUAAUCGCGAAUCAGAAUGUCGCGGUGAAUACGUUCCCGGGUCUUGUACACACCGCCCGUCACACCAUGGGAGUCGGGAAUGCCCGAAGCUGGUGACCCAACCUUAAGGAGGAAGCCGUCGAAGGCAGGCCUGGUAACUGGGGUGAAGUCGUAACAAGGUAAC